UGGGGAAUAUUGCACAAUGGGCGCAAGCCUGAUGCAGCCAUGCCGCGUGUAUGAAGAAGGCCUUCGGGUUGUAAAGUACUUUCAGAGGGGAGGAAGGCGAUGUGGUUAAUAACCGCGUCGAUUGACGUUACCCGCAGAAGAAGCACCGGCUAACUCCGUGCCAGCAGCCGCGGUAAUACGGAGGGUGCAAGCGUUAAUCGGAAUUACUGGGCGUAAAGCGCACGCAGGCGGUAUGUCAAGUCGGAUGUGAAAUCCCCGGGCUCAACCUGGGAACUGCAUCCGAAACUGGCAGGCUUGAGUCUCGUAGAGGGGGGUAGAAUUCCAGGUGUAGCGGUGAAAUGCGUAGAGAUCUGGAGGAAUACCGGUGGCGAAGGCGGCCCCCUGGACGAAGACUGACGCUCAGGUGCGAAAGCGUGGGGAGCAAACA
RNAcentral lists this ribosomal RNA (427 nucleotides) under uncultured bacterium. RNAcentral describes it as "partial 16S ribosomal RNA". It matches the Rfam family "Bacterial small subunit ribosomal RNA", at positions 355 to 774 of the family's 1533-position model. The record is from RNAcentral.